AGAUUGAACGCUGGCGGCAUGCCUUACACAUGCAAGUCGAACGGCAGCACGGGAGCAAUCCUGGUGGCGAGUGGCGAACGGGUGAGUAAUAUAUCGGAACGUGCCCAGUCGUGGGGGAUAACGCAGCGAAAGCUGUGCUAAUACCGCAUACGAUCUAUGGAUGAAAGCGGGGGAUCGCAAGACCUCGCGCGAUUGGAGCGGCCGAUAUCAGAUUAGCUAGUUGGUGGGGUAAAAGCCUACCAAGGCGACGAUCUGUAGCUGGUUUGAGAGAACGACCAGCCACACUGGGACUGAGACACGGCCCAGACUCCGUACGGGAGGCAGCA
This 326-nucleotide ribosomal RNA is filed under the name uncultured soil bacterium. RNAcentral's name for it is "bacterial SSU rRNA". It matches the Rfam family "Bacterial small subunit ribosomal RNA", at positions 26 to 353 of the family's 1533-position model. The record is from RNAcentral.